AGAGAGAGAGAGAGAGAGAGGAAUGCUCUGACCGAUAAGCCAUCUUUCUUCUUCUACACCUUCAUUUCUGUCUUUUCUGCUUGUGACUGUCGCCGGCGCGUUCGUGUUCAUGGUCAGUCAUUGAAUGACAAAUUCAUGAGGAACCAUGUUCGAAGCUGGAUCAGCUGAGAAAGAGAGAGCUUGGAUGUUCCCAUCUUUGUUCUCUUUUGCUUUCUUCCUCCUUUUGCUGUCAUCGCCGGUGACAUGGGUGCCGCUGCUCCAUUUGCCUAUGAUCAAUUAGCUUGUGGCUUUUGUUUUUCCUUCCUCUAUUCCAAAUCAGUAAGGUUCCUUCGUCACUGUCAGUGUGGCGGCAUGCCAUUGUUUUCUUCUUUCUCGGUUCGUUUGCCAUGAGUCAAUUAAGGUGGAAGCCUUGACCUUUUCUCCUAUUCUCCGAAUAAUCUGUGCUGUGGGAGUUGAUUUGUAGCUGUGGGAGUUUCAUUUUAUUGACUGUCAUUUUCCCCUGCAAUCGUUGCCUUCUUUUCUCCCUGUGUAUGCCAAUGUUAAUGGAGGACUUUAUACAGAACACUGGUUGUUAACGGCAGUUCCAUUAGUCCUUGACACGCCAUGGUACACCUAGCUAGCAGGGUGUGUAUAGGAGAUACUAGCCCCGUAUGAUGGCCAACGCACGUGGAAUGAAGGGAUGGUUAUUCGUAAGCAUUGUACUCACGUUUGAUUUCGUGGCUUUGAGUCGCAUUUGGUUAGCAGUACCCUCGUGGACUGUGUGUCCACGUUUGUUUCAUAGCUUUAAUUGCGUUUGGUUAUUUACCCUCGUGGAUUGGUGUGUCCACGUUUGUCUUCGUGGCUUCGGCCGCGUCUGAUUAUUUACUCCCGUGAACUAUGUAUCCACGUUUGUUAAUUUUUCUGAUAAAUCCCUAUAAUUAUAAUCUGAUUAUUUGGUGAUUUUAAAUUCCAUUGGUUCUUGCUUAGCAACUUAUUUAUAAGUAUUUAUUUACAUGCUUUCUUGAAAUCAAGUGAUAAUAACAAGUUUUAUGAUAGUUCAAUGGUUUACAAUUUUAUUUAACUUUGAUAGAAUCAUUUCAUUCUAAAGCUUAUGGAAUUUUUAUGGAAAGAGUUGCCUCUUUGGUUACAUAAUUAUUUUGAACUUUUCUAUUUAUUCAUGAUCAAUUAUUUAUUGUUGGGACGAUAUUCAUUAGAAAAAUUUAUUUGGUCUUAGAUUCAUUAGCUAAC
Molecule: long non-coding RNA, 1227 nt
Organism: Prosopis cineraria
Lineage: Eukaryota; Viridiplantae; Streptophyta; Magnoliopsida; Fabales; Fabaceae
Exons: 3
Source: RefSeq, a predicted model, not a curated record